CAGGCCUAACACAUGCAAGUCGAGCGCAGGAAGCUCACGGAACUCUUCGGAGGGAAGUGAAGGGAAUGAGCGGCGGACGGGUGAGUAACACGUAAGGAACCUGCCCCAAGGAUUGGGAUAACUCCGAGAAAUCGGAGCUAAUACCGAAUAGUUCUUCAGACCGCAUGGUCUGAUGAUGAAAGGCGCUUCGGCGUCACCUUGGGAUGGCCUUGCGGUGCAUUAGCUAGUUGGUGGGGUAAUGGCCCACCAAGGCGACGAUGCAUAGCCGACCUGAGAGGGUGAUCGGCCACACUGGGACUGAGACACGGCCCAGACUCCUACGGGAGGCAGCAGUAGGGAAUCUUCCACAAUGGACGAAAGUCUGAUGGAGCAACGCCGCGUGAGUGAUGAAGGUUUUCGGAUCGUAAAACUCUGUUGUAAGGGAAGAACAGGUAUGAGAGGUAAUGCUCAUGCUAUGACGGUACCUUGCGAGAAAGCCACGGCUAAACUACGUGCCAGCAGCCGCGGUAAUACGUAGGUGGCAAGCCGUUGUCCGGGAAUUAUUGGGGCGUAAAGCGCGCGCAGGCGGCCUUUUUAAGUCUGAUGUGAAAGCCCCCGGCUCAACCGGGGAGGGUCAUUGGAAACUGGAAGGCUUGAGUACAGAAGAGAAGAGUG
Molecule: ribosomal RNA, 654 nt
Filed under: uncultured Actinomycetes bacterium
Lineage: Bacteria; Bacillati; Actinomycetota; Actinomycetes
Description: bacterial SSU rRNA
Rfam family: Bacterial small subunit ribosomal RNA
Source: RNAcentral